CCACCCCUGUGGCACACACAGGACCCAGGCUCGGGGCGGGGCGGGGGCGGGGCCGCGCGCCGCUGGGCCAAUGCCGCACACCCGCGCACUGCCCGACAGCGGGUGCAGCCAAUGGGCGGGAGGCGUCCGUCCUCCUCGCGCUGCCGCCCCGUCCACGUCCUCCACAGUACACAAUGGCCCCAGAGGAAGGCCCGCUCGCAGCACGUCAGAAAGGAAUUGGACUCGGAGAGAAAUGAGGGGCCUGGACUCGCCCGGGAACGAAAGUGGAAACGGGAAAGGAAAUGGAAGAAGGGAUGCAAGGCACGAAGGAGCUAACCAAUAAGGGGUGGCAGACUAUUGGGCAUUUAGAUAAACUUCAAUUCAUCCUUCUCUUGCACUGCCAAAAGAGAGGUCUCCUGGGAGUGUCAUCCGAAGAAUGAAAUCUGCCUAACCUGGAAGAAAAAGAAAGCUGGACAGAACAAUUAUCAGUUUUAAUUGCAGCAGAAAAGUCCAGAAGGAGAAAUAAUAGUGUCUGCCUAUUACUUGGUGAUAAGAAAGUCACCGGUAUCUUGGUAUUUCAGCUGCGUAAACAGAACCUGAAUGUUGCAGAUUAAAUGAAGAAAAUAGUCACGUAUCCAGGACGGAAUAUAAAGGUCAUCAUAUUUAUAACUACCAAAGAGUUCUGGAGAAUGAAGUGAAUGUCCUGGUGGCCUUGUAUGAUACUCCCAGUUAUGAAUUCUGAGAUAACAGGUUAAUCUGGAGUCCUGUUUUUUAAGAAAAGAAAGCCAGUUGGUCAGAGGAAAAAGUCAUCAGGAAGAGUUAAGUUGCAGACCUCUCACUUCAGAGAAUCUCAACUCAUCAGCGCUGCAGCCAACCAGUCAAAAUAAGAUCUGAGGCUUCCACACAGAGGAGCCCUUCAAAGACUUGCCUUGAAACUGCUGGGUCUCCUCAGAUCAUUGUUCCUUCAGUGACUUCCCUGGCAUUGAUAUUAGUGUCCUCUGUCCCUGCUGAAUGCUGCACACAACCCUGCAGUGGCACAGACAACAUUGACAAAACAAACAGCCUUGAAUUGCCGACGCCGCUCGUCCACCAACCCCAGCAGCCAAGGCAUGGUGCAGAGAGCAUCUCUGGGCCCUGCGAGUGGGAGAACACAACAAUUGUGAGACAUUGAACUCAGUGCUAUCCUGUUAAGCAGAAUGGAAGACCAGACCAAAUUCACCUGACACUCACCCAUGGAGGGAGCAUUUAAACCCGCACUCACCGGAGGAUAAUUGCCAGUUCCAGAGGUCUGAAAUUGACUUCCCACAAACUCUGCCGCCAAGGGCCACAGUGCUCUGUGUCUCUAAGUAAACGUAAAAGGCGGUGUAGGCCAUACAGACUGCAAUUCUUAGGUAAGUUCUAGUCCUCAAAUGAGCCCAGACACAGUGGAUUGGGUGGAGGGCACGCGACCUACUGAGACAUCAGCCAGAGUGGUUAAGGGAGUGCUGGCAUCACCCCUCCCCUAAUCCCAGCCUGCUUCAAAAGAGAUCCCUUCCUUCUGCUUGAGGACAGGAGAGGUAAGAGUGGAGAGAACUUUGUCUUGCAUCUUGGAUACCAGCUCAGCCACAGAAGGAUAGGGCACUGGUCUGAUUUGUGAGGCCCUCAUUCCAAGACCUAGCUCCUGGAAGACAUUUCUAGACACACUCUUGGUGAGAAGGGAACCCACUACCUUGAAGGGAAGGGCCCAGUUCUGGCAAGGUUCAUCAGUUGCUUACUGAAGAGCUCUUGGGCCCUGAAUAACCAGCGGCAAUACCCAGGUACUAUAUUGAGGGCCUUGGGUGAGGCUCUGAGUCUUCCCUGCUUCAGGUGAGAUACAGCACAUCAUCAGCUGCGGUGGCUAUGGGGUGAAACUCCUUUGGCUUGUGAAAAGCAGAGGUAAAAGUAAUGGGGAAUUUGUCUUACACCUUAUGUACCAUCAUGGCCACAGGGGCGUAGAGCACCAGGUAGUCUCUUGGGGUCCCAAUUCCAGGAAUUGACUCAUGGAUGGCAUUUCUGGACUAGUAGGGGAGCCUGUUGUCCUGAAGGGUGAGUCCCAGGCCAGGCAGAAUUCACCUUGGGCUUUAAGGGAACAUCUGCAAUAGUCUUGCGGUACUCCUUGUGGCUUGUGGUAGCAGUGGGUAUGGGAUGAGGCUCCUCUAUUUUUGGAAAGAGUGGGUGCAUCUUGUGGUGUGAGUGCCAGCUCAGCUGCAGUACAGUAGAACACCAGGUAGACUUUUAGGGUUUUUGGCUCUGGUUCCUGUCUCCUGGAUAGCAUCUCUGGACCCACCCAAGGCCUGGGAGAGCUCGGUGCCCUGAAGGGAAGGACACAAGCCUGGUUGGCUUUGCUGCCUGCUGAAUGUAGAGGCCUAGGACCUUGAGUGAACAUAGGCAGUAGCCAGGGAGUAGUUACAGUAUCUCUUGGGUGAGAUCCAGGGCUGUGCUGGCUUCAUAUCUGACCCAGCAUAGUCAUAGUGGUGGUGGCCACAGGAGUGCUUGUGUCACUCUACUACAAGGUUUAGGUGGCUCAGAACAGAGAGAUGAGACUGUUUGUUUGGAAGAAAGUAAGAGAAGCGAACAAGAGUCUCUGCCUAGUAAUACAGAUAAUUCUCCCAGAUUUUGUCCAAGAUCAUCAAGGUGGUACCUCUACAAGUCUGCAAGAAUCACAGUAUUACUGGUCUCGGGGUAACUCAAAAAGCAAAAACAGCUUAUAUCACAGCACUCAAGUCCUUUCAAAUACCUGAAAAGCCUUCAGAAAAAAGAUGGGUAGAAAUAAGCCAAGACAAUGAAGACUACAAUAAACACCUAACUCUUCAAUGGCCAGACACCAAAGAACGUCUACUAGCAUCAACACCAUCCAGGAAAAGAUGGCCUCACCAAAUGAACUAAAUAAGGCACCAGGGACCAAUCUUCGAGAAACAGAGAUGUGUGACCAUUCAGAGAGAGAAUUCAAAAUAGAUAUGUUGAAGACACUAAAAAAUAUUCAAGAUGACACAGAAGAGGAAUUCAGAAUGCUAUUAGAUAUAUUUAACAAAGAAAUUGAAAUAAUUAAAAAGAAUCAAGCAGAAAUUCUGGAGUUGAAAAAUGCAAUCAGCAUAUUUAAGAAUCAAAGUCAUUUAAUUGCAGAAUUGAUCAAGGAGAAGAGAGAAUUAGUAAGCUUGAAAACAAAGUAUUUGCAAAUACAUAGUCAAAGGAGACAAAAGAGCAAGACUAAAAAACACUGAAGCACACCUAUGAGAUCUAAAAAGUAAUCUCAAAAGGGCAAAUCUAAGAGUUACUGGCCUUAAAGAGGAGGCAGAGAAAGAGAUAGAGGUAGAAACUUUAUU
This is a non-coding RNA of Macaca mulatta (Rhesus monkey), 3320 nucleotides long. The record is from RefSeq and is a predicted model, not a curated record. Lineage: Eukaryota; Metazoa; Chordata; Mammalia; Primates; Cercopithecidae.